CCUACGGGAGGCAGCAGUAGGGAAUCUUCGUCAAUGGGCGCAAGCCUGAACGAGCGAUGCCGCGUGAGUGAAGAAGGAAUUCGUUCUGUAAACUUCUGUUAUAAAGGAAGAAAGACGGAUGGAGGAAAUGACAUCCGAGUGACGGUACUUUAUGAGAAAGCGACGGCUAACUACGUGCCAGCAGCCGCGGUAAUACGUAGGUGGCAAGCGUUAUCCGGAAUUAUUGGGCGAAAAGAGGGAGCAGGCGGCAGCAAAGGUCUGUGGUGAAAGACUGAAGCUUAACUUCAGUAAGCCAUAGAAACCGGGCAGCUAGAGUGCAGGAGAGGAUCGUGGAAUUCCAGGUGUAGCGGUGAAAUGCGUAGAUAUAUGGAGGAACACCAGUGGCGAAGGCGACGAUCUGGCCUGCAACUGACGCUCAGUCCCGAAAGCGUGGGGAGCAAAUAGGAUUAGAUACCCCUGUAGUC
RNAcentral lists this ribosomal RNA (464 nucleotides) under uncultured bacterium. Its description in RNAcentral is "partial 16S ribosomal RNA". It matches the Rfam family "Bacterial small subunit ribosomal RNA", at positions 338 to 795 of the family's 1533-position model. The record is from RNAcentral.